GAUUUAAAGCCCAAGCGCUGUGUUAGGCGCUCCAGCUGAGACCAGACCUAAUUAAUGCAAGGAAAGGCUGCUGUAUGCACAGCUAUCUAGGUGGCUCUGCCUUUUCAUCUUUGGACUUUGUCCUAAUCAGAGCGGAUGCCGCUUUUUGAUCAGGUUAUUUGAGGGGCUGUGAGAGUGUCUUCCUUCCCCUUUAUCCUCUUUCAAUCCAUAUCUAUGGCAAACAUUAGACUGUUUCUACUGACAACAGGCAUUUUUGCUUACUAUUGACAGAUUAAUUCUAUUAAUGGCUUAAAAUCCUGCUGUGGUUCUC
This is a long non-coding RNA of Rana temporaria (common frog), 310 nucleotides long. RefSeq lists it as uncharacterized. Lineage: Eukaryota; Metazoa; Chordata; Amphibia; Anura; Ranidae. The transcript is spliced from 3 exons. The record is from RefSeq and is a predicted model, not a curated record.